UAUUAACUUCUACUAUGUCAUAGUUUUUUUCUUUUCAAUCAGGCCUUUCAUGUAACAUUUUUUAAUAAGAUAGAGUUGAUGUAAACUAGAUUUAUCAGCCAUAAUUAUACCUGUGCACAUGCAGUGAUCCAUAGGAAGAAUCAUGUACAGUACUCUGCCUUUAUUGUAAGCUUCAUUACAGAAUAUUUUUGAAGAAAAAAAGAACCUUCUUUUAAGAAAGAAAAAAAAUAAUCAGAAAAUUGGAUUAAAACAGAAUUCUUUCAAAAGCUCAAAAGAAAGAGGAACGCCAAGUGUCAAGGAAAUCAGAUAUUACUUUUUCCUGAUCUGUCGCCAAAACUGAGCUGAAGAGGCGGACUGUUCUUCCAGUAAAGAAACUUCCU
Pantherophis guttatus is the source of this 380-nucleotide long non-coding RNA. RefSeq lists it as uncharacterized. Lineage: Eukaryota; Metazoa; Chordata; Lepidosauria; Squamata; Colubridae. The record is from RefSeq and is a predicted model, not a curated record.